Molecule: ribosomal RNA, 472 nt
Filed under: uncultured bacterium
Lineage: Bacteria
Description: bacterial SSU rRNA
Rfam family: Bacterial small subunit ribosomal RNA
Source: RNAcentral
UGGGGAAUUUUGGACAAUGGGCGAAAGCCUGAUCCAGCAAUGCCGCGUGCAGGAAGAAGGCCUUCGGGUUGUAAACUGCUUUUGUACGGAACGAAAAGGCUCUUUCUAAUAAAGAGGGCCCAUGACGGUACCCUAAGAAUAAGCACCGGCUAACUACGUGCCAGCAGCCGCGGUAAUACGUAGGGUGCGAGCGUUAAUCGGAAUUACUGGGCGUAAAGCGUGCGCAGGCGGUUCUAUAAGACAGAUGUGAAAUCCCCGGGCUCAACCUGGGAAUGGCAUUUGUGACUGUAGAGCUAGAGUACGGUAGAGGGGGAUGGAAUUCCGCGUGUAGCAGUGAAAUGCGUAGAUAUGCGGAGGAACACCGAUGGCGAAGGCAAUCCCCUGGACCUGUACUGACGCUCAUGCACGAAAGCGUGGGGAGCAAACAGGAUUAGAUACCCCCGUAGUCCCUGAGCGGGCUGGCAAGGCGCAU